This 1810-nucleotide long non-coding RNA is filed under the name Trifolium pratense (red clover). RNAcentral describes it as "long non-coding RNA (TPRA_LNC001126)". The record is from RNAcentral. Lineage: Eukaryota; Viridiplantae; Streptophyta; Magnoliopsida; Fabales; Fabaceae.
UAAACAAGAAAGGCCAGACUAACAUGCUGGUGUGAACCUUGUUGAAGCAACUUUCCUUUAGUCAGCAACACAGCAAGAAGCAACUUUGCUUUAAAUGAUUUUUAGUCUGUACAAUAUACACCAAUUUUGAAUUUAGCCCUUAUAACAAUUUCUUACUAGUUUUAAUCCUUUAAACAUAAGAAAAGCUGUUUUUGGUCCUUGUUGUUUUGGAUUUAGUCACUAUAUUGUCCAUAUCAUAUCAGAUUUAAUCAUUGUAAAAUGUGAACUAUAUUGAUUUAUGUCCUUGGAAUAAGGACAAUAUAGAGAGUUACAAACAUAGAUAAAUAUUUUCUUUUUUGGUACAUAAACAUAGAUAAAUCUUACAAGAGCUAAAACAAACAAAAAAGGACCAAAAGCAAAUUUUCAAUGUUUCAAGACAAUCUUGUUAUGGACUAAACUAGAAAAGGUGUAUAUCACAGGGACCAAAAUUUCAUUUAAGCCGUUUUCAUUUGACAACAUGUAACCUUAUGCUUACUAAAAGUUGAUUUUCACAAUCACAAGUGAUUUUCCAAAAAAUUUGCAACCAUCAUAAGUGAAUAUUGGUCUUAAUUAUUUCUUGAAUCUAACCCAAAACACACAUUCCUCAACCCCCUCGUAUCAAAAUUAACAAUGCCAGAACUAGCGAUGCAUGCUUCUAGCUUGGCAAUUCUAUCCUUUAAAUUUAUGAAUGAAACAAAAAAAAAAAUUGAAACCCAAACACACAAAGAACUUUAGAUUUCUGAUCUGUUUUUUUUUAACAAGCAGAUUUCUGAUCUUUAAUUACAGGAAUGAAAUGACAUGGAGAUGAGGGUGAAUAAACAAAUGUAAAAAGGACAAAAUUUUUUUUUGAAAACUUGGUAUCCGGCCUUAGGACCGACUAAUCCAAGGGGACCAAUCUCACCGCCCACUUGCGAGGGCCCCAUUUAAAGCCAGGGUUUUUUUUUGCUCUGUAUGGACUUAGCCCACCGAAAUUGGCACCAGUGAGAAUCGAACCUGAGACCUUGAGAGGAGCAUACUCCAAGGGCCCAAGCCAACACCACUCGACCAACCCCAAGUGGGUUAAAAAGGACAAAAUUGACACUCAACAUAAGCACUUGAUACGUCUAAUGUUCUUAUCAAUGAAUUAACCACAAAUUUAACAAGAAAGCAAAAAAUCUAACAAGGCUAUAAUGCAGCUUAUAGCAACAAAACCCUAAAAAUUAGGUUUUCUCUAUCCCCUAAUUGCUAAUCUGAAGCUACAAUUUGGAAAUUUUCUCACUUGAACAACCAACUUACAAAAGUGGAGGAUCAACUUAGAAAUUUAUGCACAGAGAGUAAACUUAAUGAAACCAUAAAAAAUUAUCUAACCAUUCUUUCUAAGCAAUAAACUUUGUUACUAUAAAAUUUUCGUGCAACCAACCAAGCAACAUAGAACUUAAUCCAAUGUAAAAAAGAUUAUAACUUUAAGAAUCAUAGGUUAUUAUAACAAAAAGGGUUGUUGCUGUUAGUGAUAACUGAGUUUUGAUUCAUUGAGGACUUUUCACAAACACAUUAAUGCAUAAACGAAAUUCUAGAGAAGUUGAAGUUUAGCUUAGUAAAAGGAGAAGGAAAAUCUCAUCUUUGAGUUGAAUCAAGAACUGGUUGAAUCUUGGGACAUGGUGGUGGAGACAAAAUCACAAUGAAUGAUGAUGUUAGUGUUCCGUCCUUGGUAUUGCUCUUUUCGGUGGUGUUUUGUUUCCGUUUAUUUCCCACGUUAGGAAAAAUAUACUAACAAAAAAAUAAAACAGUUUAAAAUGUGGAGUGUGGAGUUUAA